AAUGAAGUGCCUGAUUCAAAAGGAUUAUUUUGAUAGAAUAAAUUAUGUAAAUUUUACCUUCAUUA
This 65-nucleotide transfer RNA is filed under the name Amarygmini sp. ACP-2013. Its description in RNAcentral is "tRNA-Ile". The record is from RNAcentral. Lineage: Eukaryota; Metazoa; Arthropoda; Insecta; Coleoptera; Tenebrionidae.